GUUUGAGCAGGGGAAGAACACUUAGAGGAGUUUACUUACUACAGGCAAGGAAGUGGAUUGUGUGUUUACAGUUAAGGAGGAGCUGCUGACGUUUUCCCUUCCCCCUUACGUUAUCAGAUACUUGUGACUUCUUACAGAUGGAGUCUGGAAGGUGCAGAGAGAGUGCAGUGCUCAUUGACACAGCAGGCUGGGACUAAACCCCGGGAGUUCCGCCAUGGGAUUCUGAGGGAACUGUAGUGACCUACAGAGGUGCUGCAUGGCUUCUGGGUCGCAGUGUCGCCUAUCUCCUCCCCUGGCUCCUAAACCUCAUUCAUUCCUCUCAUCUGGAUUGGAAUGCAGCCCGUAGACACUUAAUAAUCAGAUCUGGAACACUUCUGAUAUCAGACUGACGUCCCUCCUCCGAAGCACCCGC
This is a long non-coding RNA of Esox lucius (northern pike), 412 nucleotides long. NCBI's taxonomy places the organism in Eukaryota, Metazoa, Chordata, Actinopteri, Esociformes, Esocidae. The record is from Ensembl.